AGGAGGAGGUGUUGCAGCUGGUAAUUAAUGGAGGCAGGGGAAAUACCCAAGUGUCCCACUUGGGUGCCUUCUGAUACUCCACUGGCCCUCUGUACCUGAGCAGAAAUACAACAGUACCACACCAGACUAAGAAGGGUACGAUGACCAUGAAAUCAAACACCACCACCACUCCAGGAGCGAAGGUUUGGGUCACAUCACCAGAACCCAAUCCAGACCUACUUCAAACGACAUGACGGAUGUGAAGAUGCACUGGGAAGAAACCAUUUCUCCUAAAGUACACUGGUGUGAGAUGUCUCAGCCCAAGGUGCUGCUGAAGAUGCUGUGUGUUGGUCAGCAAUAACAGUUACAGGCACAAACAGGAGAUGAAUGAAGCUCAGAGAAGUUAAAGAACUUGCCUAGUCUGGAGAAGAGCAAGGGUUAGAACCAGUUCCUCUGUUAUCCCGGAGCCUGCGCUUCUAAC
Long non-coding RNA from Talpa occidentalis (Iberian mole), 460 nucleotides. RefSeq lists it as uncharacterized. The record is from RefSeq and is a predicted model, not a curated record. Lineage: Eukaryota; Metazoa; Chordata; Mammalia; Eulipotyphla; Talpidae. The transcript has 3 exons.